This 148-nucleotide non-coding RNA is filed under the name Pan troglodytes (chimpanzee). Lineage: Eukaryota; Metazoa; Chordata; Mammalia; Primates; Hominidae. The record is from Rfam by way of RNAcentral.
GCUGGGCGUGGUGGCGGGUGCCUGUAGUCCCAGCUACUUGGGAGGCUGAGACAGGAGAAUUGCUUGAACCUGGGAGGCAGAGGCUGCAGUGAGCCGAGAUCACACCACUGCACUCCAGCCUAGGCAACAGAGCAAGACUCUGUCUCAA